AAAGCCCACAUCUUCUUGCUUCUCCUCUCUUUUUCCCCAGCUCUCUGUCUCUCUCAAUCUCACUCGAUUCAAGCUCUCUCCAAGCCAAAUCCUUCUUAUCUCAUCUCGAUCUCUCACUCGAUUCAAGCUCUCUCUGUCUCUCACUCUCUCGAACUCGAUCUCUGUCUCACUUUCAGUCUCUGGAUUUCUUGAUCUGUCUCUGUCUCACUCUCUUAAUCUCUCGAUUUCUCCAUCUUUCUGAUCUGUCUCAGGCUCUCAGCCCUUUCUCAAUCUCAACUCUCUGGAAUAACAAGCAGCCCCAAAUCGACGAAGGGACAAAUGCUGUAGUGAUAAGAACAAGAAUCUUUAUAUAAAUGAAGCUUGGAUUGCAUAACUUUCUGUUUUUUUCAUUUAUGUUUGGAUUGUGUUUGUAAUUUUGUAAGCCAUAAGGCAUAAUUUUAACUAUUUUGGUUUGUAAGCCAUAAGGCAUGAGUUUUAACCAUUUGGAUUUGGUUGAUUUGGAUAUUGAAUGUGUUGAGGGAUAUUGAUUUGGUUGAUUAGGAUUUGGA
Long non-coding RNA from Prunus avium (sweet cherry), 548 nucleotides. RefSeq lists it as uncharacterized. The record is from RefSeq and is a predicted model, not a curated record. Lineage: Eukaryota; Viridiplantae; Streptophyta; Magnoliopsida; Rosales; Rosaceae.